This 499-nucleotide ribosomal RNA is filed under the name uncultured bacterium. RNAcentral's name for it is "partial 16S ribosomal RNA". It matches the Rfam family "Bacterial small subunit ribosomal RNA", at positions 30 to 523 of the family's 1533-position model. The record is from RNAcentral.
AUUGAACGCUGGCGGAAUGCUUUACACAUGCAAGUCGAACGGCAGCACGGACUUCGGUCCGGUGGCGAGUGGCGAACGGGUGAGUAACAUAUCGGAACGUAUCCAAUAAUGGGGGAUAACGAGUCGAAAGAUUCGCUAAUACCGCAUACGCCCUACGGGGGAAAGCUGGGACCUUCGGGCCUGGCGUUAAUGGAGCGGCCGAUAUCUGAUUAGCUAGUUGGUGAGGUAAAGGCUCACCAAGGCGACGAUCAGUAGCUGGUCUGAGAGGACGACCAGCCACACUGGAACUGAGACACGGUCCAGACUCCUACGGGAGGCAGCAGUGGGGAAUUUUGGACAAUGGGCGCAAGCCUGAUCCAGCCAUUCCGCGUGAGUGAAGAAGGCCUUCGGGUUGUAAAGCUCUUUCGCAAGGGAAGAAAACUUAGCCGCUAACAUUGGUUGAGGUUGACGGUACCUUGAUAAGAAGCACCGGCUAACUACGUGCCAGCCGCCGCGGUAA